AUAGGGUGAUCUGGCCUUGAAAUCUGCCACCCCAUUGAUUAACAGGGUUAAUUCCUCUGGUCUAGCCCUCAGGUUUCCCCUUCCUACCUCACUGCUCUGUGUGUGUCCUUCUUGAAGCUGUGUGGUGUGUCAUGGAGGACGACAUGCCAGUAGAGGAAGACCAGUCUUUAGUCAAGGGUAUACCUGUCAAGUAACUGCACUCCCCUGCUAAAAUCUCUAAACAAGCUCUCAAGGUUCAAAAGUAGAAGAUUUUUAUACUGCUUGGAACUAAAUAGGAUGGUCCU
Molecule: small nuclear RNA, 284 nt
Filed under: Meriones unguiculatus (Mongolian gerbil)
Lineage: Eukaryota; Metazoa; Chordata; Mammalia; Rodentia; Muridae
Description: 7SK RNA (ENSMUGG00000012519.1)
Rfam family: 7SK RNA
About the family: 7SK was discovered as an abundant small nuclear RNA in the mid-70s but a possible function has only recently been suggested. Two independent studies have found that 7SK RNA binds the CDK9/cyclin T complex (known as elongation factor P-TEFb).
Source: RNAcentral